Molecule: ribosomal RNA, 460 nt
Filed under: uncultured bacterium
Lineage: Bacteria
Description: partial 16S ribosomal RNA
Rfam family: Bacterial small subunit ribosomal RNA
Source: RNAcentral
CCUACGGGAGACAGCAGUGAGGAAUAUUGGUCAAUGGACGAGAGUCUGAACCAGCCAAGUAGCGUGAAGGAUGACUGCCCUAUGGGUUGUAAACUUCUUUUAUAAAGGAAUAAAACGAGGCACGUGUGCCUUUUUGCAUGUACUUUAUGAAUAAGGAUCGGCUAACUCCGUGCCAGCAGCCGCGGUAAGACGGAGGAUCCGAGCGUUAUCCGGAUUUAUUGGGUUUAAAGGGAGCGUAGAUGGGUUGUUAAGUCAGUUGUGAAAGUUUGCGGCUCAACCGUAAAAUUGCAAUGGAUACUGGCAGUCUUGAGUACAGUUGAGGGAGGCGGAAUUCGUGGUGUAGCGGUGAAAUGCUCAGAUAUCACGAAGAACCCCGAUUGCGAAGGCAGCUUACUAAACUGAGACUGACACUGAUGCUCGAAAGUGUGGGUAGCAAACAGGAUUAGAUACCCCUGUAGUC